AGUCGACGAUGAAUCUUCUAGCUUGCUAGAAGUGGAUUAGUGGCGCACGCGUGAGUAAUGCAUAGGUUAUGUGCCCUUUAGUCUGGGAUAGCCACUGGAAACGGUGAUUAAUACUGGAUACUCCCUACGGGGGAAAGUUUUUCGCUAAAGGAUCAGCCUAUGUCCUAUCAGCUUGUUGGUGAGGUAAUGGCUCACCAAGGCUAUGACGGGUAUCCGGCCUGAGAGGGUGAUCGGACACACUGGAACUGAGACACGGUCCAGACUCCUACGGGAGGCAGCAGUAGGGAAUAUUGCUCAAUGGGGGAAACCCUGAAGCAGCAACGCCGCGUGGAGGAUGAAGGUUUUAGGAUUGUAAACUCCUUUUGUUAGAGAAGAUUAUGACGGUAUCUAACGAAUAAGCACCGGCUAACUCCGUGCCAGCAGCCGCGGUAAUACGGAGGGUGCAAGCGUUACUCGGAAUCACUGGGCGUAAAGAGUGCGUAGGCGGGGUAAUAAGUCAGAUGUGAAAUCCUGUAGCUUAACUACAGAACUGCAUUUGAAACUGUUACUCUGGAGUGUGGGAGAGGUAGGUGGAAUUCUUGGUGUAGGGGUAAAAUCCGUAGAGAUCAAGAGGAAUACUCAUUGCGAAGGCGACCUGCUGGAACAUUACUGACGCUGAUGCACGAAAGCGUGGGGAGCAAACAGGAUUAGAUACCCUGGUAGUCCACGCCCUAAACGAUGGAUGCUAGUUGUUGCCUUGCUUGUCAGGGCAGUAAUGCAGCUAACGCAUUAAGCAUCCCGCCUGGGGAGUACGGUCGCAAGAUUAAAACUCAAAGGAAUAGACGGGGACCCGCACAAGCGGUGGAGCAUGUG
RNAcentral lists this ribosomal RNA (852 nucleotides) under uncultured bacterium. Its description in RNAcentral is "bacterial SSU rRNA". It matches the Rfam family "Bacterial small subunit ribosomal RNA", at positions 60 to 943 of the family's 1533-position model. The record is from RNAcentral.